Long non-coding RNA from Triticum aestivum (bread wheat), 1357 nucleotides. RefSeq lists it as uncharacterized. NCBI's taxonomy places the organism in Eukaryota, Viridiplantae, Streptophyta, Magnoliopsida, Poales, Poaceae. The transcript has 4 exons. The record is from RefSeq and is a predicted model, not a curated record.
UGACAAGUAUUUCCGGACGGAGGGAGUAGUUAUGUUAUACAGGUUCUGUUUGAUGUGUUUCGGAAGGGAGAGAUCGAUGAUUUUGGAAUAUAAAGCUUCAUAUGAUUUUUUUUCCUCCAAGGUAACCAUGGGAUCCAUAUUUUUUUAGGUUUGUCUCUAAUAUUAUGUAUGCUCUUCCCAUUGAAGUUUCAAUACUUGGGUUUUAGAGCUGCACUUAUAGACUUCAGUUGGUUUGUACUAUAUAUAAUUAUAAAUCAUGUAAUUAUUUUAUUUGCUUCCCGUUCGUUUCAUGUAUUUUCCCUUUUGUUUUUACUAUGACAAGCUCACAAAGAGUGUGUAUUGAAAGGGAAAGUAAUUUGGUAUGUGAGGCCGUUUGAAUGCACUUGUUUCUUGCUGUUGUAUGUUGUAUUGUACCUGUUUCUUAGAUGAAAAUAAGAUUGGCGAUAUAUAUAUAUAUUCUGCUGAACAUGCAUCCCUCUGGCAGCAUUUUAGAAAUAUAAAUAUGUUCAGUUGUUAUCUUAUCAAGUUAACCCCUUGUAAGUAUAAAUUGUGGAGGAUAGCUCAUUGUUCAACGUCGAAAGAUAGGUCCUAUAGUUAGGCUCAACCUGAACAAUAAUAUAUCUAGCAUUAGUAAAAAAAAACUAAAAAAGUGAUACAAAUUUAUUUCAAUUCAUAUUUUCUACAUUUCUUUCGGAUGUUUGAUGAUAUAUCUGAACUUAUUCAUAAACCUACCUUUGAUGUUAGGCUCAAUUAUUCCUAAAUUUGGUGUUGACUAUCCCACGAUUUCAAGCUGACUAUCCCACGAGACAAUUUCUCGACCCAGCCAACAACGGUUCAUAGAAUUUGGGUGUAUUCUCCCGUUGCAACGCAGGGCACCUUUACUAUAUGUCGAGUUAUGGUUUCAUGAUAAACGGAGCACGCACCAAAUUUUGAUGAAUUGCUUGAAGAAAAUGCAUCGGGUCUUUUCUUGCGUCCUUCAAGUCUUCAACCAGGAUACAUUUCUAGAGCUAAAAUUUCAGGGCAUCAAGAAGUAAUUAACUAUGCUUCAAAAGUUAUUGAGCUGCAGAUAUGGCAUGUGCGUACACGAAGACCUGAUGCAUCAAAGCUCGGUGUGGACACACCUCUUCUUACAGGACAGAUGUUGAUUUUUCAUUUCCUUCCAACGCCAUUAAAUCCCAGUCUUAUCUAAUUUGAAAUGUCUCCAGCGUGUGUGAUGUAUCCCUCCCCUCAGCUUUUGGACGAACAUGGUGCUAUUUGGUGCUUUUGUUUGUGGAAAAAAUGUCAUUAGUCAGGCACUUUCUAAGAUGGUCACCUGAUUGCUCUGUUGUCAUGGAUGUGGGAAAACCUUUAUCUAUAG